Molecule: non-coding RNA, 4499 nt
Organism: Camellia sinensis
Lineage: Eukaryota; Viridiplantae; Streptophyta; Magnoliopsida; Ericales; Theaceae
Source: RefSeq, a predicted model, not a curated record
CCAAUUUUUUGCCCCAAAUCUUCGCACAAUUCUUUCUCCCCCUUCUCUCUCUUAAAACACACGCUCAUUCUCUGCCCUCCUCGCUUUCUACCCUAGCUCCUCUCUCUUCAGCGUUGCCGCCGAUGUCACAUAUUCUUCUCCUUCAGUGCUACCACCGACGUCGUAUCUUCGAGCAAGCGUUAGCGCCGCCGUCGUCACUUCGAGUAUUCAAGAAUUGGAGACAGAUAUUGAGAAAUAUCAUGAGGAGUGAAGCUUUCUUCACAUAUCCAAGGUCUUAUGACUUAAUUCAUUCCAAUGGGGUUUUCAGUUUGUACAAGGACAAGUUAGCUUUAUCACUUGAUGGAGAUGCAUCUAAGUCAUCAUAGUCAGGAUCUUAGUCAUCGACUGUUGCUGAGAUCACCAAGUAGGUUUGUAUAGAGUUAAGACAAGAGCUGAAGGAUGAGAUUAGAGAAGAAUUGAGGGAGGAGAUGAGAGCAGAGCUUUCAACACAGAUACGACAAGUGAAAGCUGAAAUGUUGGCUAUUGUGUCCCAAGAAGAGGAGUAUAAAUCACAACAAACAUAUUUGGUAUAAAUUAUGUUUUAUAAAUAUCUAAUUUCAGCACAAUUCUAUCAUUGAAUAUAAAUACGAUUAAGAAAAAGAAUACCAUGAAUAUCAUAUGUACCGGAUGCAUUAAGUGGCCACAGUGAACCUAUGGAUUAUGAGGCCGAUGAGAACCCACAUACACCACCACCAGAUGAUGCAGUAAAACUUUCAAACACUUUGAAAACUUGUCGUUUGUGAAAACUUGUUGUUUAGAAACUUUUUCUCCAAACUGGUUGACUCACUAAAAAUGAUCAAACGACAUCGGAUAUCAACGAAACUUGACACACACGACGAACUAAGCACAAAUGAUUUGUACAAGAAGACGGAACUUGAAACUGAUUCUCGGUUUUGAAUCUAGAGCCUAAUUUUCGUUUAUGAAAAUUGUUCUUUAGAAACUUUUUUUCCAAGCUGGUUGACUCACUAAAAUGGUCAAACGGCGUUGGAUGUCAACGAAACUUGACAUACACGACGAACUAGGCACAAAUGACUUGUAGGAGAAGUCGGGACUCGAAACCAAUUCUUGGUUUUGAAUCUCGAGCUUAAUUUCUGUUUAUGAAAACUUGUUCUUUAGAAACUCUUUUUUCGAUCCGGUUGACUCACUAAAAUUGUCAAAUGACGUCGGAUGUCAACGAAACUUGACACACACGAUGUACUAGGCACAAAUGACUUGUAGGAGAAGACGGGACUCGAAACCGAUUCCUAGCUUUAAAUCUAGAGCUUAAUUUCCGUUUAUGAAAACUUAUUCUUUACAAACUCUUUUUCCAAACCGGUUGACUCACAAAAAUGCUCGAAUGGUGUCGGAUGUCAAUGAAACUUGACACACUUGACUAACAAGGCACAAAUGACUUGUAGGAGAAAACGAGACUUGAAACUGAUUCUCGACUUUGAAUCUAGAGCCUAUUUUCCGUUAAUGAAAACCUAUUCUUUACAAACUCUUUGUCCGAACCGGUUGACUUACUAAAAUAUUUAAACGGUGUCGGAUGUCAAUGAAACUUGACAUACUUGACUAACUACGCACAAGUGACUUGUAGGAGAAGGCAGAACUUAAAACCGAUUCCUGAUUUUAAAUCUAGAGCCUAAUUUCCGUUUAUGAAAAACUUGUUCUUUAGAAACUUUUUUUUCAAACCGACUGACUCACUAAAAUGCUCAAACAGCGUCGGAUGUCAACGAAACUUUACACACACGACGAACUAGGCACAAAUGACUUGUAAGAGAAGACGAAACUCAAAACUGAUUCCCGGUUUUAAAUCUAGAGCCUAAUUUCCGUUUAUGAAAACUUGUUCUUUAGAAACUCUUUUUUCGAACCGGUUGACUCACUAAAAUGGUCAAACGGCGUUGGAUGUCAAUGAAACUUGACACACUUGACUAAUUAGGCACAAAUGACUUGUAUCAGAAAACAAGACUUAUGAAAUUAAGUUUAGAGCCAAACUGAGUUUGUUGAAAACUCACUUUCACUUUUCUGACUGUCACUCCCUCAGGUUCUUCCAGAAACUGUAGCUACUUGAACAAAGAAAAAAACUUUAGUUUAAAUAAGUUUGCAAAGACAGACAUAUUUAGUUAUGUCCCAUUGGCAAGGUUUUUGGAGAUCCUGUCUCUGAUUCUUUAUGUACAUCUCCACAGAUUUUCAAAAACAACAUGAUAUAGUCAAUCUAUUACAAUGUGAUGGUAACAUGCUGAACAUUAAGGCUUGGACAAUGCUUAAAGUUAUUGUAUUCAAUUGCAUUAUUUGGGUUUGACAUGAUUUUGUGCAUUCCUUCCUAAGAUUAAAUCCCUAGCCAAGAAAGUCUGCAUAGAUUUCUGAUUUUUUAGCAAUAUUUUCCAUAUAGAGGAAAAUAUGCAUGGAAUGCUAUAAAAAAAUUUAAAAUAAUUCUUGAAUAUCGAACAGAGGAAAAUGUAUCUAAUCUAUAUGAAGAGAACUAUUUAUAUUUAACCUUUCAUACAGGGAAAACCUGAAUGAAUGUCCUGGAAAAGUAAGGUUUAAGCAAUUGUGUAUCACGUGAAUUGAUUUGUGUAUGCCAUUGUCUGUGGCCUUCUCUGAGCCAGGUGAGGAUGUUGAGAUGAUUCUAUAAUUGUUUAGUGUUGAUAUACUUACCGUUCUUAGAGCAUUUUCCAUGUGGUCAUGCAGCUAGGGGAGAAGUUUUCUCAACCAGCAGUUGAAGAUGUGCUCUAUGUGAAAACGCGAAGCAUGUUAAUCAACGUUGGCCUCCAGAAUUAUGAGAAGAAUUUCAAGAAAGGCUUGUUAACCGACACCAUUUUGCCUUUGCUCACCGAUAGGCAAGUAGUUAAGAUUCACCCAUCCCUUACACUUUCAUUUUAACUGUAUUUAUAUUUUGAUGGUAUUUUCCACAGUGAUAUGUUUCAGUGCUCUUAGAGAUGUCCAAAUCCCUCUUGGACCAAGGCUUCUCAUUCUCGAUCACAUCCAAAGAUACAACCCUUUUGAGUACGUGAUGAUAUCUUCGCAUAUUGAUAUUGGAGUUUAUAAUCUUAUUUAUGUAUUUAUUUAUUCAUUGAAAUAAAUAUCAAAUAUUUUACAUUUUCUGUAAGGUUGUGAUUUCAUUCAAUACUUGUGAUACGAACACACACAUUGACAAGGCGAAGCUCACAGCCUUCUUUUUAUCUAUUCAUCUCUCACUCUCUUUACUUUGGUCAUGAAGCCCUAUUGAUAGGGGGAGUUCUUGAUUUAUUUCAACACUUGCUUUUUGAAACAUAUAGUUUGAAAACUUUAAUUAUUUGUCAUUAUCAAAAAAUGGGAGAUUGUUAGCCCCAAGGUUACUCAAACUUGAAUUUCGAUUUGAUUUUGAUUUAUGACGGACACUUUAUUAUUUAAAGUUUUCAAAAUUAACAUUUGUACUUCUUGAUUCAAAUUAUUUUGAGAUUGAAGAUAAUUUUGUUUCAAAAAACCUUUUAAAAUAUCAAAAACAUAAGCAUUAGCUCUUGGUUGCAAAACUUUAUCUCUGGCUAAACACAGGUCCAAGGAUCGACACUAUAAUAAUCUUCUAAAAAGUUAAAGUGUUCCAAAACAAAAGGUCAACACCAAAAAAGCAAAGGUCGACACCAGAAAGAAGUUGAAAAAAUGGCUAAGUGUUUCAAAUGCAAGGGUCGACACUAAAAAGCAGUAUACAUUCCAAUGGUAAGGGUCAACACCAACAGCAGCAAGGGUUGACACCAAAAAGCAGUAUACACUCCAAUGGUAAGGGUCGACACCAAUAGCAGCAAGGGUCGACACCAAAAAAUAGUAUACACUUCAGCCACAAGGAUCGACACCAUCAGUAGCAAGGGUUGACAUCAGGAACACGUGUACCUCAACUCAAGAAAGAAAAAUCAGAGCAAAGGAUCGACACCCAACUUGCAGGGGUUGACACCCUUAUGUCUGGGUUGAACAAAACCUAACUGCCAUCUUCCAUCUCAAAGAGGGUAUCUGUGACAUCAUUCUCAGACAUAUUUUAUACUAAUCAAAAGGAAUCUUGAGACAACAUUUUCUAACAUAAUGGAGGGAACAUUCUCCACUCACACCUCUCCCAAGAUCAGAAAAAGGAAAGAACAUGGAGACAACAUUAUGUCCCUCUACUAUUUUCUUAUCUUCCAAGCAUGGGCAUCACUUCCUUUGAGGAAGCUCCAUUUCCAAUGGUCAGAAAACAGUCAACACCAAACAUUCUCCACUCACAACAGCUGGAAAGGAUUCUCAUUGUCUAGCUCCAACGGAUAGUUUACUCACGUGAGUAUGUUCCUUCUUCAACGAUUUGAGUCGAACAAGAAGGCUAUAAAUCAGGAAGUUUUCCACAGCUGCAAGUACGACAUUCCACUGCAACAACUCUAAACAUUCUGAGCAUCACUGGUAUAUCUUUUAUUUGACUUGUGUUCUCCCAUUUUUCAGAUUUAAACAAGUCCAAAACUUUGUGAGAUCUUUCACUUUCA